Molecule: ribosomal RNA, 440 nt
Filed under: uncultured bacterium
Lineage: Bacteria
Description: partial 16S ribosomal RNA
Rfam family: Bacterial small subunit ribosomal RNA
Source: RNAcentral
CCUACGGGAGGCAGCAGUGGGGAAUAUUGCACAAUGGGGGAAACUCUGAUGCAGCGACGCAGCGUGCGGGAAGAAGGAAUUCGGUAUGUAAAGCUCUAUUAGCAGGGAAGAAAAUGACGGUACCUGAGUAAGAAGCCACGGCUAACUACGUGCCAGAAGCCGCGGUAAUACGUAGGGGGCAAGCGUUAUACGGAUUUACUGGGUGUAAAGGGAGCGUAGACGGCAGUGCAGGUCUGUAGUGAAAGGCGGGGGCUCAACCCCCGGACUGCGCUGGAAACUGGACGGCUGGAGUGCAGGAGAGGUAAGUGGAAUUCCUAGUGUAGCGGUGAAAUGCGUAGAUAUUAGGAGGAACACCAGUGGCGAAGGCGGCUUACUGGACUGUAACUGACGUUGAGGCUCGAAAGCGUGGGUAGCAAACAGGAUUAGAUACCCCAGUAGUC